RNAcentral lists this small nuclear RNA (145 nucleotides) under Salvator merianae (Argentine black and white tegu). RNAcentral's name for it is "U1 spliceosomal RNA (ENSSMRG00000003573.1)". It matches the Rfam family "U1 spliceosomal RNA". Rfam says of the family: U1 is a small nuclear RNA (snRNA) component of the spliceosome (involved in pre-mRNA splicing). Lineage: Eukaryota; Metazoa; Chordata; Lepidosauria; Squamata; Teiidae. The record is from Rfam by way of RNAcentral.
AUACUUACCUGGCAGGGGUGACAUCAUGAUCGUGAAGGUGGUUUUCCCAGGGUAAGGCUCAUCCAUUGCACUCUGGGUGUGCGAUUUCCCCAAAUGCGGGACUGCAUAAUUUGUGGUAGUGGAAAAUUGCAAACAGUCAUCUGUU